GUCAUCUUUUAACAUAGCUUUUUGUGGACGCCAUUUUUAAUAUUGUUAAACAUUUUUUUUUAAAUAUAUUUUUUAAAAAUAUUUUUGCACUUUUCAUAAGUAUAUAAAUAAACUGUAAAAAUUUUAAAUUGAUUGCUCUUUUUUUAAACCUUAAAAAUUCCGGAAAACACCCUUAAUUCAACAGCGCGCCAGUCGUUUAUUCUUUAUCACAUUUCCGCCAAUUGGAUAUUCCAAGCGUAGCCAGGUCCUUCUCCAUCUGGUACUUCCAACGAAGUGCAGGUCUUCCUCUUCCUCUGCUUCCUCCGGCGGGUCCUGCGUCGAAUACUUUCAGAUCUAGAGUGUUUUCGUCCAUUCGGACAACAUGGCCUAGACAGCGUAGCCGUUGUCUUUUAAUUCGCUGAACUUUGUCAAAGUUUUCGUAUAUCUCAUGGAGCUCAUCGUUUCAUCGAAUGCGAUAUUCUCCGUGGCCAAUGCGCAAAAGACCAUAAGUAUUACGCAGAACUUUCACUCGAAAACUUGCAACGUCGACUCAUCAGUUGUUGUCAUCGUCCAUGCCUCUGCACCAUAUAGCAGGAUGGGAAUAAUGAGUGACUUAUAGAGUUUGGUUUUUGUUCGUCGAGAGAGGACUUUACUUCUCAAUUGCCUACUGAGUCCGAAGUACCACCUGUUGGCAAGAGUUAUUCUGCGCUGACAGGAGAUAUCAUUAUCAUCGGCAUUAUCUUAUAAAAGAUUGUACCUGCUCGAUUAAGUUCUGCAGCUCGAAUUAUUUUCUCCAGCAGCAGAUUGAAGAAGUCGCACGAUAGGGAGUCGCCUUGUCUGAAACCUCGUUUGGUAUCGAACGGUUCGGAGAGGUCCUUCCCCAUCCUGACGGAGCUUUUGGUGUUGCUCAACGUCAGUUUACACAGCGUAUUAGUUUUGCGGGGAUACCAAAUUCAGACAUCGCGGCAUAAAGGCAGCUCCUUUUCGUGCUGUCGAAAGCAGCUUUGAAAUCGACGAAGAGGUGGUAUGUGUCGAUUCUCCUUUCACGGGUCUUUUCCAAGAUUUGGCGCAUGGUGAAUAUCUGGUCGGUUGUUGAUUUGCCAGGUCUGAAGACACACUGAUAAGGUCCAAUCAGUUUGUUGACGGUGGGCUUU
Long non-coding RNA from Bactrocera neohumeralis, 1133 nucleotides. RefSeq lists it as uncharacterized. The record is from RefSeq and is a predicted model, not a curated record. The transcript has 3 exons. NCBI's taxonomy places the organism in Eukaryota, Metazoa, Arthropoda, Insecta, Diptera, Tephritidae.